UGUCAGGGAGUAAGGCUAGGCAUGGU
This 26-nucleotide non-coding RNA is filed under the name Rattus norvegicus (Norway rat). The record is from RNAcentral. Lineage: Eukaryota; Metazoa; Chordata; Mammalia; Rodentia; Muridae.